AAUAAAGUAAGCUAAUUAAGCUGUUGGGUUCAUACCUCAAAAAUAGAUGUAAUAUUCUCUUUAUUA
RNAcentral lists this transfer RNA (66 nucleotides) under Graneledone verrucosa. Its description in RNAcentral is "tRNA-Met". Lineage: Eukaryota; Metazoa; Mollusca; Cephalopoda; Octopoda; Octopodidae. The record is from RNAcentral.